Anguilla rostrata (American eel) is the source of this 280-nucleotide long non-coding RNA. RefSeq lists it as uncharacterized. Lineage: Eukaryota; Metazoa; Chordata; Actinopteri; Anguilliformes; Anguillidae. The record is from RefSeq and is a predicted model, not a curated record. The transcript is spliced from 2 exons.
UAUGGAAGAAAAUAUUUUGUCUAAUAAUAUAGAGAGAGAUGGCCUGAGGGCUAGGAGUUGUUUGCAGGGGUGAUUAAUAAAAUCUCAUGUGCAUCUCACAACUCUUUGGAGUGAUAUUGUGUAUACGCAGAAACACGUUAUAGUGUGUUUUUUUAUAUUUUUUAAUGAUAUAAAAUAGCAAUGAUCUAAACUAUUGUUUAAAUGCUUCAGGCUCAUAAAAAUUAUGCCAGAAUUGUUUAUUUGUUGAGAUAACUGUUUUUAAUAAAAUACUUUUGUCUUA